This 494-nucleotide ribosomal RNA is filed under the name uncultured bacterium. Its description in RNAcentral is "partial 16S ribosomal RNA". It matches the Rfam family "Bacterial small subunit ribosomal RNA", at positions 28 to 507 of the family's 1533-position model. The record is from RNAcentral.
GACGAACGCUGGCGGCGCGCUUAACACAUGCAAGUCGAACGGAAAGGCCUGCUUUCCCUUGUGGAUUGCGGGUACUCGAGUGGCGAACGGGUGAGUAACACGUGAGUGAUCUGCCCCCAACUUGGGUAUAAGCCUGGGAAACUGGGUCUAAUUCCCGAUAGGACUGCAGGGUGGUGCCUGUGGUUGAAAACGAUUUUCUAGUGGUUGGGGAUGAGCUCGCGGCCUAUCAGCUUGUUGGUGGGGUAAUGGCCUACCAAGGCGGCGACGGGUAGCCGGCCUGAGAGGGUGGACGGCCACAUUGGGACUGAGAUACGGCCCAGACUCCUACGGGAGGCAGCAGUGGGGAAUAAUGCACAGUGGGCGGAGGCCUGAUGCAGCGACGCCGCGUGGGGGAUGACGGCCUUCGGGUUGUAAACUCCUUUCGACCGCGAGGAAGCCACCUGGUUGGAAGGGUGGUGACGGUAGUGGUAGAAGAAGCACCGGCUAACUACGUG